This is a non-coding RNA of Taeniopygia guttata (zebra finch), 516 nucleotides long. The record is from RefSeq and is a predicted model, not a curated record. Lineage: Eukaryota; Metazoa; Chordata; Aves; Passeriformes; Estrildidae.
UUCCCUUUAGAGGGCGACCAUGUCCCACAGAGCUCCAGCACGGAACCUUCACCGGGAGCUGCAGGAUAAGGCAGAGCAUCCCCGAGGUCACCAGGAUGUGGUGGCUUUUCUGAGGGUCUGUGAACCUUCCCAGAUGUGAAGGAAGUUACAGCCUGCUCUGAGGGUCGUGUUUGAACUCACUCUCCUUCCUCAGGCAGCUGCAGUGCUGCUGCCAAGAGCAGUUUGGACAUAAUUUGGAUAGAUUUCCUGUGGCCAGGCUCCAUCAGUUAUGGUAUUUUCCUGCUCCAGUCUCUGAAAGGUUGAACAAGAAUAUCCCUGCAAACGAGGGAUGGCUUCUCUGGGAUGGAUUCUGCAGGUUGAGAAGAGAAAAUGUUCCCCUUUCUCCUGAUGGCGCAGAAGGAAUUGCAGCUACAGUCACUCAGCUAUUCCUCCUGCUUCUUCCCCUGUUUCUCAACAGAGUUUUGGGCACAAUGCAAUAAAGCCAGUCUCAAGGUACUGUUUUUUGAGUGUGACACA